This 547-nucleotide ribosomal RNA is filed under the name uncultured prokaryote. RNAcentral's name for it is "bacterial SSU rRNA". It matches the Rfam family "Archaeal small subunit ribosomal RNA", at positions 330 to 879 of the family's 1478-position model. The record is from RNAcentral.
GUGNNNNAGUCGCGAAUACUCCGCAAUGCGGGCAACCGCGACGGGGCUACCCCGAGUGCCGGGCGAAGAGCCCGGCUUUUGCCCGGUCUAAAAAGCCGGGAGAAUAAGCGGGGGGCAAGUCUGGUGUCAGCCGCCGCGGUAAUACCAGCUCCGCGAGUGGUCGGGGUGUUUACUGGGCUUAAAGCGCCCGUAGCCGGCCCGGCAAGUCGCUCCUGAAAUCCCAGGGCUCAACCCUGGGGCGGGGGGCGAUACUGCCGGGCUAGGGGGCGGAAGAGGCCGCCGGUACUCCGGGGGUAGGGGCGAAAUCCGUUAAUCCCCGGAGGACCACCAGUGGCGAAAGCGGGCGGCCAGAACGCGCCCGACGGUGAGGGGCGAAAGCCGGGGGAGCAAAGGGGAUUAGAUACCCCUGUAGUCCCGGCCGUAAACGAUGCGGGCUAGCUGUCGGCUGGGCUUAGGGCCCGGCCGGUGGCGAAGGGAAACCGUUAAGCCCGCCGCCUGGGGAGUACGGCCGCAAGGCUGAAACUUAAAGGAAUUGGCGGGGGAGCAC